GAGCCUGUAGCGCAGCCUGGAUUAGCGCAACAGCCUCCUAAGCUGUGGGUCCCGGGUUCGAACAUGCUCCCUGGCCACUGCC
RNAcentral lists this transfer RNA (82 nucleotides) under Candidatus Woesearchaeota archaeon CG1_02_47_18. RNAcentral's name for it is "tRNA-Arg". The stretch from base 1 to 60 matches the Rfam family "tRNA". Rfam says of the family: Transfer RNA (tRNA) molecules are approximately 80 nucleotides in length. Their secondary structure includes four short double-helical elements and three loops (D, anti-codon, and T loops). Lineage: Archaea; Nanobdellati; Candidatus Woesearchaeota. The record is from RNAcentral. RNAcentral also lists the same sequence under 1 other name.